RNAcentral lists this ribosomal RNA (277 nucleotides) under uncultured prokaryote. RNAcentral's name for it is "partial 16S ribosomal RNA". It matches the Rfam family "Bacterial small subunit ribosomal RNA", at positions 524 to 800 of the family's 1533-position model. The record is from RNAcentral.
CACGGGGUUGCGAGCGUUGUCCGGAAUUACUAGGCGUAAAGGGCAGGCAGGCGGAUCCAUAAGUUUAUCGUUUAAGGCGUCGGCUUAACCGGCGUAGGGCGGUAGAUACUGUGGAUCUGGAAUGCGGUUGGGGAAGACAGAAUUCCUGGUGUAGCGGUGGAAUGCGCAGAGAUCAGGAGGAAUACCGAAGGCGAAGGCAGUCUUCCAAGCCGUUAUUGACGCUCAGGCACGAAGGCGUGGGGAUCAAACAGGGAUUAGAUACCCGUGUAGUCCCUGA